CUACGGGAGGCUCCAGUGGGGAAUAUUGGGCAAUGGGCGCAAGCCUGACCCAGCAACGCCGCGUGAGGGAAGAAGGUUUUCGGAUUGUAAACCUCUGUCCUUGGGGACGAAGAAGUGACGGUACCCAAGGAGGAAGCUCCGGCUAACUACGUGCCAGCAGCCGCGGUAAUACGUAGGGGGCAAGCGUUGUCCGGAAUUACUGGGCGUAAAGGGUGCGUAGGCGGCAUAUUAAGUCAGGUGUGAAAUACUCGGGCUCAACCCGGGGGCUGCAUUUGAAACUGAUAUGCUUGAGUGUGAGAGAGGAAAGUGGAAUUCCUAGUGUAGCGGUGGAAUGCGUAGAUAUUAGGAGGAACACCAGUGGCGAAGGCGACUUUCUGGGUCAUAACUGACGCUGAGGCACGAAAGCGUGGGGAGCAAACAGGAUUAGAUACCCUCGUAGUC
RNAcentral lists this ribosomal RNA (441 nucleotides) under uncultured bacterium. Its description in RNAcentral is "partial 16S ribosomal RNA". It matches the Rfam family "Bacterial small subunit ribosomal RNA", at positions 339 to 795 of the family's 1533-position model. The record is from RNAcentral.